AUAAAAAGUAAAGCUUGUCAGCAGAAGGAAGCAUGAUGUGCUCUAAAUGUUCCUGGUCGGUGGCUGCGUUGACUGUGGACUUCAGAAAACACAGUGGACCAACACCAGCAGAUGACACGGUGCCACAAAUCAUCACUGACUGUGGAAACUUCACACUGGACCUCAAGCAAAGGAGAUUCUGCGCCUCUCCACUCUCCCCCCAGACUCUGGGACCUUGAUUUCCCAAUGACGUGAACAUUUUACUUUCAUCUGAAAAGAGGACUUUGGACCACUGAGCAACAGUCCAGUUCUUUUUCUCCUCAGCCCAGGUUCUAUGGAAACUUGUUUCUGGACCAGGACUCGUCUGCCCUCACAGAUGCUGACAUGUCCAUUCAGCUGGCUCCUGAUUGGCCGAUGGGAUACUUCUGUGAACUGAUGGGGUUAAAGCUCAUUUAGCUUCUUUCCUCUGGACUGGUUGUCGUCCUCUCAGUGUGUUGCAGACGUUUGAUAGUCCUUCAUCCA
Long non-coding RNA from Mugil cephalus (flathead mullet), 501 nucleotides. RefSeq lists it as uncharacterized. NCBI's taxonomy places the organism in Eukaryota, Metazoa, Chordata, Actinopteri, Mugiliformes, Mugilidae. The record is from RefSeq and is a predicted model, not a curated record. The transcript has 4 exons.